GUUUGUUCAUUAACACAAAUACUGAAAUUAGAAUGAUAAAGAGAAGAUCAGCAUGGGUCCUAUAGAAGGAUGAUAUGAAAAUCUGUGAAGCAUUACAUAUUUUA
This is a small nuclear RNA of Dromiciops gliroides (monito del monte), 104 nucleotides long. Lineage: Eukaryota; Metazoa; Chordata; Mammalia; Microbiotheria; Microbiotheriidae. The record is from RefSeq and is a predicted model, not a curated record.